UGGGGAAUAUUGGACAAUGGGCGAAAGCCUGAUCCAGCCAUGCCGCGUGUGUGAAGAAGGUCUUCGGAUUGUAAAGCACUUUAAGUUGGGAGGAAGGGCAGUAAGUUAAUACCUUGCUGUUUUGACGUUACCGACAGAAUAAGCACCGGCUAACUCUGUGCCAGCAGCCGCGGUAAUACAGAGGGUGCAAGCGUUAAUAGGAAUUACUGGGCGUAAAGCGCGCGUAGGUGGUUUGUUAAGUUGGAUGUGAAAGCCCCGGGCUCAACCUGGGAACUGCAUCCAAAACUGGCAAGCUAGAGUACGGUAGAGGGUGGUGGAAUUUCCUGUGUAGCGGUGAAAUGCGUAGAUAUAGGAAGGAACACCAGUGGCGAAGGCGACCACCUGGACUGAUACUGACACUGAGGUGCGAAAGCGUGGGGAGCAAACA
RNAcentral lists this ribosomal RNA (427 nucleotides) under uncultured bacterium. Its description in RNAcentral is "partial 16S ribosomal RNA". It matches the Rfam family "Bacterial small subunit ribosomal RNA", at positions 355 to 774 of the family's 1533-position model. The record is from RNAcentral.